RNAcentral lists this long non-coding RNA (515 nucleotides) under Capsella rubella. Its description in RNAcentral is "long non-coding RNA (CRUB_LNC003471)". Lineage: Eukaryota; Viridiplantae; Streptophyta; Magnoliopsida; Brassicales; Brassicaceae. The record is from RNAcentral.
GAGAAUAUAAGAUUCUAUCUUAAGUCUUAAUCCACACAUGAACACAGACUAAUACAAAUGACAACAUCAUGCACUAAUACAAAUUACUUUCUUUUUUUUUUUACUAAUACAAAUUACUAUACUACACCAUGCAUCUGAUUAAAAUACAAUAUUUUUUUUCGUAGAGAAGAUUGGUAUAGGAUCAAUACCCUCGAAAACGAUAGAUAUUAAAAGUGUUGAUGAUCAAAAAGCCAAUUGUGUAUCUAUGAAAAUCUCCUUGCGUCAAUGAAUUUAAUCGGUUCCCUCUUAAUGCCUUAUCGCGUCAUAGCAUGCACACAUAUAAUGCUUUAAGAAAGUUAAAAAAAAAAAAAAUUAAUAUAAAUCCUCUCUUUAGUAUAUAUAGUUUUAUCUUUUAUCGUUAUAACAGAUGUAAACUUAAUCUCUACCGUAAACCUCGCGAUAAUCAAUAGAUCUUUAACCCACACAGAAAAAAGAAACGUGAAUAUUUUUUCCCAUUAGAACUCUUGCCAUCAAAU